AGUGAACGCUGGCGGUAGGCCUAACACAUGCAAGUCGAACGGCAGCACAGUAAGAGCUUGCUCUUACGGGUGGCGAGUGGCGGACGGGUGAGGAAUACAUCGGAAUCUACUUUUUCGUGGGGGAUAACGUAGGGAAACUUACGCUAAUACCGCAUACGACCUACGGGUGAAAGCAGGGGAUCUUCGGACCUUGCGCGAUUGAAUGAGCCGAUGUCGGAUUAGCUAGUUGGCGGGGUAAAGGCCCACCAAGGCGACGAUCCGUAGCUGGUCUGAGAGGAUGAACAGCCACAAUGGAACUGAGACACGGUCCAGACUCCUAAGGGAGGCAGCAGUGGGGAAUAUUGGACAAUGGGCGCAAGCCUGAUCCAGCCAUACCGCGUGGGCGAAGAAGGCCUUCGGGUUGUAAAGCCCUUUUGUUGGGAAAGAAAAGCAGCAGGUUAAUACCCCGCUGUUCUGACGGUACCCAAAGAAUAAGCACCGGCUAACUUCGUG
Molecule: ribosomal RNA, 492 nt
Filed under: uncultured bacterium
Lineage: Bacteria
Description: partial 16S ribosomal RNA
Rfam family: Bacterial small subunit ribosomal RNA
Source: RNAcentral